Molecule: ribosomal RNA, 429 nt
Filed under: Bacteroidota bacterium
Lineage: Bacteria; Pseudomonadati; Bacteroidota
Description: Bacteroidetes bacterium partial 16S ribosomal RNA
Rfam family: Bacterial small subunit ribosomal RNA
Source: RNAcentral
UAGGGAAUCUUCGGCAAUGGGGGGAACCCUGACCGAGCAACGCCGCGUGAGUGAAGAAGGUUUUCGGAUCGUAAAGCUCUGUUGUUAAGGAAGAACGAGUGUGAGAAUGGAAAGUUCAUGCUGUGACGGUACUUAACCAGAAAGGGACGGCUAACUACGUGCCAGCAGCCGCGGUAAUACGUAGGUCCCGAGCGUUGUCCGGAUUUAUUGGGCGUAAAGCGAGCGCAGGCGGUUAGAAAAGUCUGAAGUGAAAGGCAGUGGCUCAACCAUUGUAGGCUUUGGAAACUGUUUAACUUGAGUGCAGAAGGGGAGAGUGGAAUUCCAUGUGUAGCGGUGAAAUGCGUAGCUAUAUGGAGGAACACCGGUGGCGAAAGCGGCUCUCUGGUCUGUAACUGACGCUGAGGCUCGAAAGCGUGGGUAGCAAACAGG